RNAcentral lists this transfer RNA (73 nucleotides) under Trichonephila inaurata madagascariensis. It matches the Rfam family "tRNA". Rfam says of the family: Transfer RNA (tRNA) molecules are approximately 80 nucleotides in length. Their secondary structure includes four short double-helical elements and three loops (D, anti-codon, and T loops). Further hydrogen bonds mediate the characteristic L-shaped molecular structure. tRNAs have two regions of fundamental functional importance: the anti-codon, which is responsible for specific mRNA codon recognition, and the 3' end, to which the tRNAs corresponding amino acid is attached (by aminoacyl-tRNA synthetases). tRNAs cope with the degeneracy of the genetic code in two manners: having more than one tRNA (with a specific anti-codon) for a particular amino acid; and 'wobble' base-pairing, i.e. permitting non-standard base-pairing at the 3rd anti-codon position. Lineage: Eukaryota; Metazoa; Arthropoda; Arachnida; Araneae; Nephilidae. The record is from Rfam by way of RNAcentral.
GUCCCUGUAGCGCAAUGGAUAGCGCGUCGGACUUCUAAUCCAAAGAUCGUGAGUUCGAAUCUUACCUGGGAUG